This 492-nucleotide ribosomal RNA is filed under the name uncultured bacterium. RNAcentral's name for it is "partial 16S ribosomal RNA". It matches the Rfam family "Bacterial small subunit ribosomal RNA", at positions 29 to 507 of the family's 1533-position model. The record is from RNAcentral.
AGUGAACGCUGGCGGUAGGCCUAACACAUGCAAGUCGAACGGCAGCACAGUAAGAGCUUGCUCUUACGGGUGGCGAGUGGCGGACGGGUGAGGAAUACAUCGGAAUCUACUUUUUCGUGGGGGAUAACGUAGGGAAACUUACGCUAAUACCGCAUACGACCUACGGGUGAAAGCAGGGGAUCUUCGGACCUUGCGCGAUUGAAUGAGCCGAUGUCGGAUUAGCUAGUUGGCGGGGUAAAGGCCCACCAAGGCGACGAUCCGUAGCUGGUCUGAGAGGAUGAUCAGCCACACUGGAACUGAGACACGGUCCAGACUCCUACGGGAGGCAGCAGUGGGGAAUAUUGGACAAUGGGCGCAAGCCUGAUCCAGCCAUACCGCGUGUGUGAAGAAGGCCUUCGGGUUGUAAAGCCCUUUUGUUGGGAAAGAAAAGCAGCAGGUUAAUACCCCGCGGUUCUGACGGUACCCAAAGAAUAAGCACCGGCUAACUUCGUG